RNAcentral lists this ribosomal RNA (497 nucleotides) under uncultured bacterium. RNAcentral describes it as "partial 16S ribosomal RNA". It matches the Rfam family "Bacterial small subunit ribosomal RNA", at positions 28 to 507 of the family's 1533-position model. The record is from RNAcentral.
GAUGAACGCUGGCGGCGUGCCUAAUACAUGCAAGUCGAGCGAACGGACGAGAAGCUUGCUUCUCUGAUGUUAGCGGCGGACGGGUGAGUAACACGUGGAUAACCUACCUAUAAGACUGGGAUAACUUCGGGAAACCGGAGCUAAUACCGGAUAAUAUUUUGAACCGCAUGGUUCAAAAGUGAAAGACGGUCUUGCUGUCACUUAUAGAUGGAUCCGCGCUGCAUUAGCUAGUUGGUAAGGUAACGGCUUACCAAGGCAACGAUGCAUAGCCGACCUGAGAGGGUGAUCGGCAACACUGGAACUGAGACACGGUCCAGACUCCUACGGGAGGCAGAAGUAGGGAAUCUUCCGCAAUGGGCGAAAGCCUGACGGAGCAACGCCGCGUGAGUGAUGAAGGUCUUCGGAUCGUAAAACUCUGUUAUUAGGGAAGAACAUAUGUGUAAGUAACUGUGCACAUCUUGACGGUACCUAAUCAGAAAGCCACGGCUAACUACGUG